UACGUAGGGUGCAAGCGUUGUCCGGAAUUAUUGGGCGUAAAGAGCUCGUAGGCGGCUUGUCGCGUCGGCUGUGAAAACCUGGGGCUCAACCCCGGGCCUGCAGCCGAUACGGGCAGCUAGAGUGUUGCAGGGGAGACUGGAAUUCCUGGUGUAGCGGUGAAAUGCGCAGAUAUCAGGAGGAACACCGGUGGCGAAGGCGGGUCUCUGGGCAACAACUGACGCUGAGGAGCGAAAGCGUGGGGAGCGAACAGG
Molecule: ribosomal RNA, 252 nt
Filed under: uncultured bacterium
Lineage: Bacteria
Description: partial 16S ribosomal RNA
Rfam family: Bacterial small subunit ribosomal RNA
Source: RNAcentral